Molecule: ribosomal RNA, 385 nt
Filed under: uncultured bacterium
Lineage: Bacteria
Description: bacterial SSU rRNA
Rfam family: Bacterial small subunit ribosomal RNA
Source: RNAcentral
UGGGGAAUAUUGCGCAAUGGACGAAAGUCUGACGCAGCAACGCCGCGUGAGUGAAGAAGGCCUUUGGGUUGUAAAGCUCUUUCGGCUGGGAAGAAGGGAAUUAGUGUUAAUAGCAUUAGUUUUUGAUGGUACCAGAAGAAGAAGCACCGGCUAACUUCGUGCCAGCAGCCGCGGUAAUACGAAGGGUGCGAGCGUUGUUCGGAAUUACUGGGCGUAAAGGGUUUGUAGGCUGAAAUGUAAGUCAAGUGUGAAAUCCCCGAGCUAAACUUGGGACGUGCAUUUGAAACUGUGUUUCUUGAGUAUCGUAGAGGGUGGUGGAAUUGCAGGUGUAGGAGUGACAUCCGUAGAGAUCUGCAGGAACAUCAGAGGCGAAGGCGACCACCUG